CCCUGCCCCGCUCAGCUCAGCUCCCUGACACCCCCGCACGCACUUGGUUCUCUGGCCCCAGAGGGCUUAUCUCUCCCUGGCAUUUGUCAACAGGGCCAGCAUUGUGAUCCUCAAACCACGAAACAGCCCUCUUAAAGUCGAUGGCAGGCAGGUGUCAAAGUCUUAUUUACUUUGCUCAUGAGAUCUGUGCAGGAGGACAAAAGAACACAGAGACCCAGACUUCCUGGCAGGGAACAGCAAUCAGAUCCAACUGCCGUGAGACACAGAUUUGGCUAACGUCCUACCAGGCAAAAGCACGGACCCUCGGUGUCUCACAGGUGGACCGAAAAGCAAACGCCCACACGGCUUUGGCUUUCAGGAGCUGUGACAUGCUGUGCCCUGAUUGGUGGUGGACGCGGUUCUCCACAAGUGCUUCAGUCUGUGGUCACCUUUUCGCCUUACUUCUAGUUUGGGGUCACUGUGCCUUCCCCCACGUCACAGGUAUGUGUACCCGAUCCACUGAGCUUUGCAACUUAGCAACAGUGCGCUGUGGCGCACAUCGCGGCCCAGGAGGGGGCUCAGAGCUGGAGGGUCACUCCCUUCCUGACCUCCCCACCACCUAGUGACUACCCGGCACCUGGGAGGGGCUUGGAAAAUGUUUACAGGAGGCCUGCCACUCGGGCUGCCAGUCCUGCGUCAUGGACCUCAGCCCAGGAGGGGACCGACAGCCACCACGGCAGGUUUGAAAAGACCUGUGAUGUGGGAAGGCUCUGUGGAUGGUUUUGGGGGUGGGGUGCGUCCAGGCACACAGUGGCAGCAGGGGCCACUCCGUUAAGGUGGGCAGGCAGGUGAGAAGGGCGGCAGGGUGCAGACCUUGGAGGGCCUGUGGAGGGCCGGGGGGUCACACCAUGGCUCCUCACGGCCAUGUCCACAGUGCAGCCUUGACACCCCCGCUGACACACCAGCCUGGAAAAGCAAGCCCCCACCGGAAAGGUGGGGUCAGUCCACGGCAGGAGGCUCUCCUGUCACAGUCACCGGCUGUAGAGUAAGUGAAGGCCUCACACGUCCUCCUGGGGCGUCCUUCUGACCCACACCAACUGCACCUGUGGGCUCCGAGCACCCGGGGUCCAUCUGGCCUUCCCAGACCCAGCAAACUCUCCGCUGCGCCCAGCCCUGGGGUCUGAACUGGAGACCUCUUCCUCCCCUUCUGGCCUCCUGCAGCUGCAAAUGGUUUGCACACACCCCACAGCCCCCCUGCAUGGCUGAGUGCGCCCUUUAGGUCCUCUGUGAUUUUCCUGUUGCACAAACCAGGGGAUGUAAAACAACAGAAAUCUGCUCGUGUUUUUCCUCAAGUCCAGAGUCAAGGUGCUGGCAGAACCCCACUCUCUCUGGAGCCUCUGGGGGUCCCCCUUCCUCUUCCAGCUGCCGGGGUCUCCAGGUGCUCUGCCACUGGACCUUCCUUCCCGUCUCACGUCUCCCUCUUGUUUCUCCUAAGUGGACAUCGGUCACUGGAUUUAAGGUUCACUUGGAACCCAGGAUGACUCCCCGAAUGAGGCCCCAUUCCCAGGUCCUGGGGGUUAGAACGGGAACAUGGGGCGGGCACUAGUCAACCUGCUACCAUUUGUAAAGGCGGAGACACCAGUUUUCUUUUGUUUCUCAGGAAUGACUGAAGUCAUCUGGAGCUCAAAGUGUAGAAAGGAGCCAGGUUUCACAGAGGAGGGGUCUUCCUGCCUUGGUAAAUAGGGGCAGGAGAAAGAAGGGACCGCAGCGUCUCUCCUGCUCCAGCCCCGUCACCUCCUUGACGACACUUGCUGAAGCUGCUUCCCACGCGUAUUAUAUUGACUUAAUAGUGUCUAGAAAGUCUUUAAAAAUCAUCAACUGAGCCUCAACCAGGCAAUGUCCUUCCUGUCUCGGGUUUGCAACCCCUAGGUAGAUCCCCCUCCCCCAACACACACAGCAGGGUGCAGAGGUAGGGUCUGCUGCUGAACCAGCCCCAAGGGUGACUCUAAGCAGGUUUUGUGGGACCUUGUAAUGACACAGAUCCACCCAAAGUGGAGACUUCGUCCCUCAUCUUGCUGUGGGAAGGGUCCCCCUGAGUGAACUUGGGGGUGGCAGCAGUCACCAGGACACAGGAGCACCCCUCACUGCUCCUGUGGAGGUGGGUGAUGGAUGGCUGCUGCUUCUCCUGCCCACACAGCAAGUCUGCAUCAGAACCACUCUGUCCCCUACUUGGCCAGUGGCUGCAAAGGAGCCUAGUCUUCCCAGCCCGGGUGGCUGGUUGUGCAGUUGAUACCAAGGUCUACUGUGUCAGCCCUGGGGGAGGGCAAAAGGACCCUCAAGGUCCAAAUGGAAGAUCACGGGGAGUUGGGGCCAUGGAGAGGAGAGUCCCUGCUGAGAGUCCCUACCGUCUGCCGCACACAGACCCGGGGUCAACUUCCCACCUCACUUACCACCUGCCCAGUAGCACGGGGUCAGAAUCGGCCACACUCUGAGAAAUCGUGUUUCAAGCAAAGAUGAGGAGGUUAGGAUUCAUUUUGGGGUGAGUGUGUGGUCUUCCCAAGGUGGUCCCCAAGCUGGAAAGACAAGCACCCAUCCUCUUGGCCCCUCGCAUGCCUCGGGAACAGUCCUUGGCUCACAGGCCUGGGGUUAGGACGCGCAGACCUGAUGGCGGGCUGGAGGAGGACCACGCCUCUGUGUUGGGGGCAGGCUCCGUGCUGCUUCAGGGAGGGAUGUGUCCUUUGCUCUCUCUGUGGGCAGCCUCUGACAUGGUCCCCAGUGAUCCCCCUCUGGGCGGUCCUGUCCCCUCCAGUGUGGGCUGGACUUACUGACUCACGUCUAAGGGACUGGAAGGACAAAAGCCAUGGGGUCGGACCUGAGUCUCUGGGUCCGAUCCCAGUCUCAGAAUGGGGGAGCAAUGGGGUGUCCCCUCUGAGAUCACAGGAAGCCUGGUCCUCGUGAGCAUGCUCUGCUAUGUCGCCGUCAGGUCAGGGAGUCUCGGGGCCCACUGGAGAGGGCCCUGUGGCAGGGAGGGAGGGCAGCCUGGUCUAGGGCAGUGAGGUGGUCCUGCCCACCACCAGAGGGUGCCUUGCAGAGGACCAGCCUCAGGGAACAACCCUCCAGAUGAGCCCAGAGCCCUGCUGGCCUCCUGCGGCCUUCCAGGACCUCAAGGCAGAGGCCCCAGUAAGAAAAGCGGUUUCAGGCCCCCAGAAGCGGUGGGAUAACUGCCUGCAGUUCUGUCACACACAGAAUGGAGAACUAGUUCAGUUUCUGUCCCCAGCGCCCCCUCAGGGCUUGGCUGAUGUGGAGGGGGCUGGGCAGCUCGCGUGGCCCCCACUUCUGCCCCCUUCUCUGUAGGGCUGGACUUUGGAUUGCACUUGUGGCCAUCAGCACUUCUUGUAAAGAGCAACAGGCUGGAAACAAGGGUAAGACCUACCAUGGGCUUCAGCUGCCAUUCUGCCUGCGGUCACUUGUUAGACCAGGACGCAAGAAAAGACCACUGACUCCAAUUAACAUCAAAUUAAAGCAAGCUCAUUAUUUCUACCGGUCGGGCUGCCUCUCCCACCCAAAACCACGGGAACAAGAGAGCCGCCACAGCUUUCCUGCAGCCCAGCUUUAUAGCCCAGAAAGUUACACAAAGGGGGGUUACAGAUAACAGAACUCUGACGGGCAUCACACAAAGCCUAGUUUACAUUUUUGCUGGCCCCGACAUCAGAAUUUAUGAAAGUCAUUAGAGUCUCAGAGAGGGUCGUUAUCUGGCCAGGGAAGGCCAAGAUUUGUGAGGCGUCACUAAAGUUCAGAGAGGGCUGCUAGCUGUUCGGAGAGCCAGGCAUGGGUGAGUUCAAGGCACGGGCAGGCAUUCCAAGCAGGUUCAGAAUUUGCAGUAAUUUAUAGUAAAGCCGAAACUAUCUUUUCAUGGCUUUGUGGUGAGAUGGCUCCCAAUUUUAAGAGAAAAUCAGGUUGGGUCUAUCACACUCUCCCCCGGCCUGGAGCCGUCCUGUUCUAUGCUUCUGGGCCUCCACUGGAGGAGUGUGCUGCAGGGCCUGGCAGCCCCAGACCCUCCUGAGGACUGGUUUUCCCUCUAGAUUGCUUCUCUAGGUCUUUCUAGAAUCUUUGGGCCAUAGUUGAUUUUAUUUUUCUAAAUUGGCUACAAAGUCAUAUUUCAAAGGUUGGCUGAUUUGACCCACUUGCCUUCAAAUGUGUUUCUUGGUGGAGGGUGACUUUUGGGUGUGUGUAUCGUUAUUUUCAGUAAAAAAAAUAAAAAACAAAAACAAAAACAAAACAUAGAAAUGACCCACAAACCAUCAAGGGCAUCAACAGCAUCAAGGACGGUCUCUUGGCCAUACCUCUCCCCACCCAGUGCCCAGGGCUGGCCACGGCCAGUGGCCUGCUGAGGGGUUUGCACAUACCAACGCAUGUGAGUUAGGCCCUGGUGGCCAGGUGACCUGGAGCCCCAGAUGGCCUGGACCCUGGAGCCAGACUUCCUGGUCCAAGUCCUGGCUGUAGCCCUCCCCACAUGAGACCCUUGGCAGGUUACCAAGCCCCUGUGCCUUAGUGUCCCCGCUGCAGAUGGGGCUAGUACUCCCUGGCUCAGGUGGGAGUGGGGCUUCACUGGGCAGGUGUGCAAAGGCUGAGAACAGCUGGCGUUGCUGCUGCCAUCCUGAUGUCCCCAGGCCUCCCACCGCACGUCCUCCUCCAGCUGGUCUGGACCCAGGCUUCCCCCAGACUCUGGCAAACUGAGGAUCACGUCUCCCGGUGGGAAAUGGCUCCACAGCGCUCCUCUGCGGCACUGCCAGGCAGCGGGCAGCAGGUCAGCGCCAUCACCACGGCUGCUCUUGGCCUCCUGCCGCCUCCCCCACGUGGUCCACGGGCCCAGGUGUUUAGGUGCAGGGGGUGGGGACCACGCGCUGUGGAUCCCGUGUCCACGUCCCUGUCCUGCCCACCUCUGGAGCCUUGAGCCAGCAAGCGAUGGGGCAGCAGGUUUCAUGAACUGCGUUUGGCCAAGGCCAUCUUCAGCAGCGGGAGGACAAGGUGCAUUUUAAUCCCACAACUCGGCUUCAAACCUCCGAGCCCCUCUGCCGAUAGCCAGCUCAAGACCAUCCCCGCUGGCCUCUCAGCCGAGGAGAUGGAUUGUUGCUUAGUGUGCCUGUCCACUGCCCUGCGCUCAGCCCUGGGUCCCGCUGCCGUCAAUCGCCCACGGUGGCUCUCCUCCCACUCCUCACACCCCUUCCUGACAUCCCAGCCAUACUUUCCUGUCAUUAGGAAUCACAGUCCCCGAAUGCCAGACCCAUGUGACAAGGGUCGGUGAUGCUGCAAGGACAGAAGUCAGCCACCCUUCAGAGCCCAGGCACCAGUUUUGAAGCAGGCCAGAGACCCCCACCCAGAAGACCCUUACCGUAAUGAAGCAGAGACCCCACCAUGUUUGUGGCAUGUGAGUUCCUCCUCUGAUCAGGGAGCACAGAACAUUAGCUCUCAGCAAAAAUCUGCAGAAGGCAGUGUGGUCUGCAGCUUCCUUUGUUUUGGGAGACCCCUGUCUGUCUAGAGGAUGGAAUGAGACACCCCUGUCGUGUGACCCUCAGAGCCCUGCCCCCCACACUGGGUAUGAAGUUCAAGGACUGUCCAUAUCAUGGUUCAGAGGAAGAGUUCUUAGGUGAGAGCCACCUCGGAACCCUGUAGUCAAUACACCUGCUUCCUGAGAAUUCCCCCCGUGUCCAGCCUCUCCUGUCCUACUUCAGUUUGAGGGGUGGGCUCUGUCCCCUUUUGAUUUAGAUCUUACCAGAGCCCUUUGUGGUCUUUAAAAUUCACAAAACUACCAGGCUGGUUUCUCCAUCUGUUUGUGGAGAGUCCAUCAAUAACAAGGACUGGCUCACGGACUUAGAAAUGACCAGGUGGCCGCCCCAGAGAGCCUGGGCAGAAUCACUAAGCAGUGCUGGAGAAGCCAACGGUGCUGGCACCCAUUGUGGGCCACCCGUGGGGAAAGGCGUCUGGAAGGGCUCCCGCCUGGAGGUAUUGCGAGCCCUGACCCGGUGCACACCCCAGAUGUGGAAGGCUCCACUCUCCAUCACUCUGCCCAGCGCCCAGAGGACGCAGACAGGACACGGCACCACCCACCUGGAGCACCAGCUCCCAGCCACCGGGCUUUUUUCCCCCGGGUACCACUCAGGGGUGCUGCAGUGGGCUGUGGAGGGCAGACACGGCAAGUCUGCUUAUCCCACAGUCACCAGGGGCUAAGGGCUGUCCCCAACCCGUGGCCCCUGGUCUAGGUCAGCUGUGCAUGAGUUUCACACGUCCACUUUUAUCUUAACUGUGAUCUGAAGAACACAUCCUUGAUGAUGUGUGGGGGAGGUGAUUUGGGCUGCUUCUGGCCCUGGGGGCAUCUCCAGUAGGUGUCAGAUACUGUCCCGAGGCAGAGUUCUUUGGUCUGGGAACAUUUCCAUGUGGGCACCACUGGUCUGUGUGAUGGUAAGUCGGAUUUGUCUGGCAUCAUUGCCUGCUGGAGAAAUCACCGUGAGCCAUCUCUCCCCAUCAAAAGUCACCUCCCUGGUGGCAUUUCUCUGCCAAGGUCAGUGGUGUGGAGAAUGACUUGCUGUUUCUCUGAGGGCCUCCAGGGUCCUUCCGAGUGACUUUCGUGUGCAACAAGAAGCCUGGUUUGAAAUCAGGCCUGUUCAAUUUGACUUUUCAAAUUUGUUCUUUCUCCAGCAAUUCCUCGAGGAUGGGGCAACAACUGGGAUUCAUUUUAUUUCUGGAGGUGGGUUAUGUGUGGUUCAGAGAACACCACAGAAAGUCUUCAGGAAGCUUCCAGCAGCCAUCCUUACGAUGGGGCCCUAAUGGGCCAAGAGGGUAGAUUCAAGUUUCAGGCCACAUGACAAAUGGUGGACGGGAUAAAGAAGUAGAGACCAGGAUGCACCAUCUCCUCUUAAGGAAAGGUCCCCAGAUGGCUCCACGACACUUCCUCUCACAUCCCUUUAGCUGUGGGUCAUGCUAGUUGCAAGGAGGGCUGGGGAAUGUAGUUUUCAAUUCUUGGUAGGCAUAAGUCCAGCAGAGCUGUUAUACAACCAUGGGAGAAGAGCGGACUGGAUACUGCCCAUGCCUCCGGGAGCAAGGCGAGGCUGGAAAGGUCAGCAGGACCCAGAUGGAGAGUUUGAACUUGACCCUAAAGGUGACGGGAAGCCUGUGAGGACAUGAAUCACUUUGGCGUCAUAGUGAUAAGCUUCCCAGACCCCAGCCACUCUCUGAUCAGCUCCGUGAGGUACCUGAGCCCCCGAGAUGGCCAGUGACAUCGAGUCUGCUGUUCUCCACUUUGGUUCAACAAACUUUUGCAGCUCUGAGCACUUCCUAUGUGUCAGGCAAAGUGGACAAGUCUCUCUGCCCUGCUAGAGCGCACAGUCUGGUGGGGCAGGUGGACAUUAAGCACUUAAACAGGUAAAAUAUCUAGUCUGCCAGAGAGUGAGAAGGCUAGGGAGGACAGGGAGCGCUGGGGCACGGAGAGAUUGCUGGACAUAUGAUGGUCAGGGGAGGCCUCUCCACAGAGGCAACCCCGGAGCCAAGGCCUGGAGGAGGUGGGGAACUGGGUGAGGCAGGAGGGCGACUAGUGAGAAAGCAUCUUGAGCCCGCGGAACAGCCCAUGUGCAGGACUUGGGGGGAUCAUGGCUGGGGCUGGAGGGGCUGAGUGGGAGGUGAGAUAGGGAGUGGACGAGAGCCAGAGGAGGGACUUGAUCCCAUCCUUGGUUUCUUUUGUAUUGAUUUUUUUAAAAGUUGGCUUAUUGCAGUUAUAGUGUGGAAUUCACUGUGACUUUUGUUUUUAAAGAUCGCUCUACUUGCUUUAUUCCCCCAAGUUCAAAGACAAAAUCUCCCAAGGGUGAGGACGCCACCUCCCUCAGGCCCUCCCUACCAGUCCAAGACCCCUGGGGAAACUGAGAAAUCUCUCAGUGGACUAGAGAGAAAGCCAGGACCUGACUCAGGUCCCAAGCUGCCCUGCUGUCUCGCUUCUGUACUGUCCUGUUGUAGUUCAGGAAAUACAAUCUGUUUCCUUCAAAAUAAAUUUUUUUUUCUUAUUUGCGUUGUCGGUCACCCCAUCAACCCCCUGUGUUUUAUCAACAAUAGCC
This 8081-nucleotide long non-coding RNA is filed under the name Marmota monax (woodchuck). Lineage: Eukaryota; Metazoa; Chordata; Mammalia; Rodentia; Sciuridae. The record is from RNAcentral.